GUGAGGAAUAUUGGUCAAUGGACGGAAGUCUGAACCAGCCAUGCCGCGUGCAGGAAUAAGGUCCUAUGGAUUGUAAACUGCUUUUAUUCGGGAAUAAACCUCUUUACGUGUAGGGAGCUGAAGGUACCGAAGGAAUAAGCACCGGCUAACUCCGUGCCAGCAGCCGCGGUAAUACGGAGGGUGCAAGCGUUAUCCGGAAUCAUUGGGUUUAAAGGGUCCGCAGGCGGGCUAUCAAGUCAGAGGUGAAAUCCCACAGCUUAACUGUGGAACUGCCUUUGAAACUGAUGGUCUUGAAUUAAGUGGGCGUUGGCGGAAUAUGACAUGUAGCGGUGAAAUGCAUAGAUAUGUCAUGGAACACCGAAAGCGAAGGCAGCUAACGAUACUUAUAUUGACGCUCAUGGACGAAAGCGUGGGCAGCGAACAGGAUUAGAAACCCUGGUAGUCC
This 445-nucleotide ribosomal RNA is filed under the name uncultured bacterium. Its description in RNAcentral is "partial 16S ribosomal RNA". It matches the Rfam family "Bacterial small subunit ribosomal RNA", at positions 354 to 796 of the family's 1533-position model. The record is from RNAcentral.